This 1559-nucleotide long non-coding RNA is filed under the name Sus scrofa (pig). Its description in RNAcentral is "lncRNA (ENSSSCG00050025514.1)". The record is from RNAcentral. Lineage: Eukaryota; Metazoa; Chordata; Mammalia; Artiodactyla; Suidae.
CAACAAUUUGGUUAUGAUGAGCCUAGGUGUGGUUUGCUUUGUGUGUGUGUGUGUGUGUGUGUGUGUGUAUGCAUGCCUGUGCUAAGCUGAAUUUCUCAUAUAUGUAAGUGCAUACUCUUCAUCAAAUUUGGAAAAUAUUUGGCCAUUAUUUUUCCAAAUAAUCUUCUGCACUCUCUUCCCCUUUCUGGAAAUAUGAUUAUACAUUUGCUUUAUCUCUUAGUAUUGUGAAACAGAUUAUUGAUGUUUUGCUCUUUUCAAUCUUUUUUUUUUCUGUGCUUUGGUUUAUGUAGUUUCUACAGCAUCUUCAAGUUCAAUGGUACUUUCUUCUGAAGUGUUUAAUAUGCUCCUAAGGCUAUCCAGUGAACAUAGUUCCAUUUAGUUCAUUUUCAGAGAUCUAAUCUCUUCUCAUUAUGCAUAUGUUUUUCUUUAGAUUAUUGAAUAUAUUUAUAAUAACUCUUUCAAAAUAUUUGUACAUUAAUUCCAUUUAUGUUACAUCUGGUUCUAAUUUUUUGAAUAAUAUUUUACUUGGCUAUACAUCACAUUUUCCUGAUUCUUUGUAGGUCUGUUAAUUUUUGUUUGGUUGAUGAAUAUUGCAAAAAUUACCUUGUUGAGUGUCUACAUUUUAUUAUCUUCCUUUAAUGGAGAACUUGUUUUGGUAGGCAGUUAUUUUACUUGUGUAUUACCUUGGCCAUUUUAUGGCUUUUUAAAAAAAUUGUUAAGUAAGGUCUAGAGUGGUUUUAAGUCUAGGACUCUUAAUUCUGCUCCUACAGUGUGACAUCCACAGAUAAAGGUACUGCAGGGCCUGGUCAAUGUCAUGAGCAGUGGUUCCCACUAGAGUUCAGAGGGGCCAUCAGUUUGAUCUGAGAAGGUUAGAGAAGACUCUGCUGGACAGGGGGUACUGGAUCUGUCCCUGGAGAGGGGCUAGAAUUCAAAUAGACUGAAAAGACAGUAGAGUUUUUUUUCUAGGCAGGGAAGGUUCCAGAAGCAUAGAUGUAGAAAUGGCAAUGCUCAAGGCAGGACUGUUCCUGUGAGAGUGAACUGUCCAGCUGGGUUUGGCUGGGUGAAGUGGAAAUAUAGCAAAAAGGCAGCAAUGAGGGCCAAUUCUGUCACUUGUUGAUGACAAAAAAAAAAUGGGGCAGGACCAGUUUGGGGAAGUUUCAUGCCACUUCGAGAUAUGCCUGGAUCCACCUGGUGGCUCCACAAGGCUUUACUGGGUAAACUUGAGCAAUUCAGAGACACUCAGCCUAUUAUCUGAACUAGAGUCACGUUCAAGAGCUAAUGGGAAACACAUAAUGAAACUUCCUCUGGCUUUUCUCAUACACUCAGAGCAUAGCAAGGUAGAACAAAGACUCAGUCACUCAUUCAUUUAUUCAACCAAUCAACCACACAUAUUCACUAUCUAUCAUGUGCCAGACACAUCUCUAAGAACUGGAGACAUAGAUAUGAACAAGAUUUUAAAAAUCCCUGUCUUCAUAUAUCUUACAUUCUAGUGGGAGUAACAGAAACAAACUGAUCUGAAAUAGGUCAGGUAGUGACAGUGUAUGAAAAAAAUAAAGCAG